This 817-nucleotide ribosomal RNA is filed under the name Stenamoeba sp. LC-2013 strain CF4-196. Its description in RNAcentral is "partial 18S ribosomal RNA". It matches the Rfam family "Eukaryotic small subunit ribosomal RNA", at positions 606 to 1169 of the family's 1831-position model. Lineage: Eukaryota; Discosea; Longamoebia; Thecamoebida. The record is from RNAcentral.
AAUUGUUGCAGUUAAAAAGCUCGUAGUUGAAUUUUGGAACGGGAGGGAGGGGGAGUCCGAGGGUUUUCGAUCCUCGAGGCUCGCCUCUCCCUUCGUGCGGCGCCGGUCCGCCCCGAAGGGCGAGCACUGGUCCGCGCGUUCCCUCCUACCGGACGCUCGCUCCUGCUCUUCGUUGAGUGGGAGUAUUCUCCCGAGGGUCGAUUUCCCCUUUCUCCUUUUUUUUUUCUUCACGGAAAAAAAAAAAGGAGGAAGAAGGGGCGAUCGUUCGCAAGAACCGANUCUUCGGAAUCGCUCGGGGUUUCGACGGGGCCGGAAGGAUUUCCGGGGAAAAGGAACUCGUUCCUUUCCCCCCCGUUUUCCUUUUUCCACCGGUUCCGUUCGGAGCUCCGGUUCGUUUACCUUGAAUAAAUUAGAGUGUUCAAAGCGGGCAAGCACACGCCUAGAUACUUUAGCAUGGGAUAAUAGAAUAGGACUUGGGUUCUAUUUUCGUUGGUUUCUAGGACCGAAGUAAAUGAUUGAUAGGGACGGUCGGGGGCAUUAGUAUUUAAUUGUCAGAGGUGAAAUUCUCGGAUUUAGGAAAGACUGACUUCAGCGAAAGCAUUUGCCAAGGACGUUUUCAUUAAUCAAGAACGAAAGUUAGGGGAUCGAAGACGAUCAGAUACCGUCGUAGUCUUAACCAUAAACGAUGCCGACCAGGGAUCGGGAGACGUUACCUCGAUGACUCUCCCGGCACCUUGCGGGAAACCACAAGUCUUUGGGUUCCGGGGGGAGUAUGGUCGCAAGGCGGAAACUUAAAGGAAUUGACGGAAGGGCACCA